AUGCUCACCGUGAAGGGGUUCAACACGACUAUGUGUCGCAUGUGCUACCAGGACGACAAUGAUGCCAGCAAUGGGAGCAGCAGUAGCGACUCUGGCUACAGCAAAAGCAGCAGCAACUCUGGCUAUAGCAAAAGUAGCAGCGAGGAUGAGGAGGAACGGAGUGGAGAAGAAGAGGAGCAGAGCAGGGAUGAGGAGGUGCAGCCUAUUCUAUCUGACGAUGACCACAUGAUGGUGGUGCCAGACAAUGACCUAGCAAUAGUGGUGCCUGAAGAUGGCCUCGCGAUGGUGGUGGUGCCUAACGAUGACCUCGCGAUGGUGGUGGCGCCGGUGAUCCCACAGCUAGGCAACAGGACCAUGUGA
Molecule: ribosomal RNA, 360 nt
Filed under: Triticum aestivum (bread wheat)
Lineage: Eukaryota; Viridiplantae; Streptophyta; Magnoliopsida; Poales; Poaceae
Description: partial small subunit ribosomal RNA
Source: RNAcentral